This 1044-nucleotide ribosomal RNA is filed under the name Rosellinia necatrix. RNAcentral describes it as "partial large subunit ribosomal RNA". It matches the Rfam family "Eukaryotic large subunit ribosomal RNA", at positions 47 to 1118 of the family's 3401-position model. Lineage: Eukaryota; Fungi; Ascomycota; Sordariomycetes; Xylariales; Xylariaceae. The record is from RNAcentral.
GAGGCGGGGAGGAAGAACCAACAGGGAUUGCCUCAGUAACGGCGAGUGAAGCGGCAACAGCUCAAAUUUGAAAUCUGGCCCUCGGGUCCGAGUUGUAAUUUGUAGAGGAUGCUUUUGGCGCGGUGCCUUCCGAGUUCCCUGGAACGGGACGCCUUAGAGGGUGAGAGCCCCGUACGGUUGGACACCAAGCCUCUGUAAAGCUCCUUCGACGAGUCGAGUAGUUUGGGAAUGCUGCUCUAAAUGGGAGGUAAAUUUCUUCUAAAGCUAAAUAUUGGCCAGAGACCGAUAGCGCACAAGUAGAGUGAUCGAAAGAUGAAAAGCACUUUGAAAAGAGGGUUAAAUAGCACGUGAAAUUGUUGAAAGGGAAGCGUUUGCGACCAGACCUUUUCCUGGCGGAUCAUCCGGUGUUCUCACCGGUGCACUUCGCCAGGUCGAGGCCAGCAUCGGUUUCCGCGGGGGGAUAAAAGCUCUGGGAACGUAGCUCCUCCGGGAGUGUUAUAGCCCUCUGCACAAUACCCCCGCGGGGACCGAGGACCGCGCUCUAAGCAAGGAUGCUGGCGUAAUGGUUGUCAACGACCCGUCUUGAAACACGGACCAAGGAGUCGAACAUUUGUGCGAGUGUUUGGGUGUCAAACCCUCACGCGUAAUGAAGGUGAACGUAGGUGAGAGCCCUUACGGGUGCAUCAUCGACCGAUCCUGAUGUCUUCGGAUGGAUUUGAGUAAGAGCAUAACUGUUCGGACCCGAAAGAUGGUGAACUAUGCGUGGAUAGGGUGAAGCCAGAGGAAACUCUGGUGGAGGCUCGCAGCGGUUCUGACGUGCAAAUCGAUCGUCAAAUCUGCGCAUGGGGGCGAAAGACUUAUCGAACCAUCUAGUAGCUGGUUACCGCCGAAGUUUCCCUCAGAUAGCAGUGUUGUUCUUCAGUUUUAUGAGGUAAAGCGAAUGAUUAGGGACUCGGGGGGCGCUUUUUUGCCUUCAUCCAUUCUCAAACUUUAAAUAUGUAAGAAGCCCUUGUUACUUAAUUGAACGUGGGCAUUCGAAUGUAC